This 224-nucleotide long non-coding RNA is filed under the name Ricinus communis (castor bean). RNAcentral describes it as "long non-coding RNA (RCOM_LNC001302)". The record is from RNAcentral. Lineage: Eukaryota; Viridiplantae; Streptophyta; Magnoliopsida; Malpighiales; Euphorbiaceae.
AAAUAAUCAACAUAAUCUAUAUCACAUACACUUAAUACAAUUUCCACCCAAUCACAUAACUUUCCAUGAUAUUCAUAGUUUAGGUAUAAAGUCAUACCAUUCUACUCAAUUCAUUACAACCAUCAUAGAAGAAAUAUAAUUCAACAAUUAUGGUUAGUUCUCACGGCUUGUGAAUCCCCUUUAAUGUGCUGCUCCGCCUCAUCCUCACAUAUCACACACGUAAG